GCACAAGCGUGGAGCAUGUGGUUAAUUCGACGCAACGCGAAGAACCUUACCAGGGCUUGACAUCCCCUGACCGCGUAUGAAAGUACGUUUUCACCCUCGGGUGACAGGGAGACAGGUGGUGCAUGGUUGUCGUCAGCUCGUGUCGUGAGAUGUUGGGUUAAGUCCCGCAACGAGCGCAACCCCUACGUUUAGUUGCUAACGCGUGAAGGCGAGCACUCUAGACGAACUGCCGUUGACAAAACGGAGGAAGGUGGGAUGACGUCAAAUCAUCAUGCCCCUUAUGUUCUGGGCUACACACGUGCUACAAUGGCCGGUACAGACGGACGCAAAGCCGCGAGGUGGAGCAAAUCCUAAAAAGCCGGUCUCAGUUCGGAUUGCAGGCUGCAAUUCGCCUGCAUGAAGUCGGAAUCGCUAGUAAUCGCAGGUCAGCAUACUGCGGUGAAUACGUUCCCGGGCCUU
Molecule: ribosomal RNA, 459 nt
Filed under: uncultured Pelotomaculum sp.
Lineage: Bacteria; Bacillati; Bacillota; Clostridia; Eubacteriales; Desulfotomaculaceae
Description: bacterial SSU rRNA
Rfam family: Bacterial small subunit ribosomal RNA
Source: RNAcentral